RNAcentral lists this long non-coding RNA (295 nucleotides) under Amborella trichopoda. RNAcentral describes it as "long non-coding RNA (ATRI_LNC001537)". Lineage: Eukaryota; Viridiplantae; Streptophyta; Magnoliopsida; Amborellales; Amborellaceae. The record is from RNAcentral.
CUUCAUCUGUCAAAACCUUUUUAAAAGGUUUUUGUAUGUCUCGAAGACCCUCGCACAGCACUUUGAUUAAGAAAUCAUUGUUUUGAAUAGAAACUCAAAUAUUUUUUGGAAAUGGUGCUAAAGAGUUCCUUUUAAUUUUGAUUCUAACAAAAGAUAUAUCUUCACCUCUCAUAACAUUCCAAUCAGUGCUUACAAAAUCUCGAUACAUAUUACCUAGUCUUUUUAUACACAUUGAUAUUCCAAAUAUGCGUAGGAACACUAUAAAAUCUCACCCCACAAAAAUCUAGGAACACCA